Molecule: long non-coding RNA, 2331 nt
Filed under: Solanum tuberosum (potato)
Lineage: Eukaryota; Viridiplantae; Streptophyta; Magnoliopsida; Solanales; Solanaceae
Description: long non-coding RNA (STUB_LNC004928)
Source: RNAcentral
GUUUGAAAAUAAAGUUGGAUAUUCUUAUGACACUUCGAUUACAUUGAGGUUGAAUCUAAUAGCUACAUAUGAAUAAGUGGAAUUCAGAUUAAACAAAACAAAAGUCAUCCGAUCACAAAUAAGAAUAGUACAUGUUAUUACUACGUCUGAUGCCUCACCUCUAGCUUGCUCAAAAAAGCAUAACACUGAGCUUUAUCAUCAUUACGGGCAACCCACCUAUUGGGUUGUGAUGCUCCUCUUCCUGCAUUACCAUUUCUUCAGUCUCCACUAUCUCCCUAAUUACCUCCUCGUCCACCCUAUGGACGUCCUCUGACAUUAUUACCUCCACAUAUUACCUAUUGCAUGAUGCGCCAACCAACCUUAUGUCUGUGAGGGCAUUCCCUUUGGAAUUGUCCAUGUUUACCACAAUUAAAGCAUCCACGGUCAAGUGAGAGUUUGUUGGCUAAUGAGUAAAAAGCUCUUUGACCACCCUGAGUUCGAGAUUGUUGUGGAACACCCAAAUAUCCACCCAUGGAAGUGGGCAUAGUUGACUGAAAUGGAUCAUACAUAAAACUCAUGCAUAUCUAAUCAUACAUAUUUAUACAUAAAAAAUAAGUUACGAGUAGUGGAAUACUUUUUUGAAGCUUAAUUCUAACUUUCAUCACUUUGAUAUAUAAAUUUUGGAGAGAAAUGUGAUUUCCAGAAAAUGAAAAAAUUCUAAGAUUAGGGCAAGCAUAAAUGGAUUCUUAUUAUUCCAUAUUAUCAUAAACAACAUCCUCAAUUAGUAGGGUUAAUUUUUACCUUCUUGGUCCAAACCUCUUUUAAAGUACUUCAAAAUCAAUGCGCUAACUCCACACCCUUUCAUUGUUUCUAUCUCUGAAUCUCUCUUAUUUAUAGUUAGAAAAUCUUUAUGGUUCGCUCUCGAUGUGAUCUCUAAUUGGGACUUGAUAAAAUUAGUCUUCUUGUGAUGGACUUGCCAUUGAGAGGCACAUUGACCUGGCUAGAUGAGUCUUUCGCGAUAUUUUGAUAUGAUUGUCAAAAAUAUAUUUUUCCAUGUCCUUAUCUUUUGCCUAGAAUUAAGUUUGUCUUCUCACAAUAGGAUCAGUACAUUAUAAGACUUUUCGAAUUGGUAAGGUUGGAUAAUUCACGUCUAGUUGUAUUGAAAAUUAUUGUGAGAAGGCAAAAGCCUAGGCAAGAGACAAGACAGGAAAAAUACAUUAUGAUCAAUCACAAGGAAAUCUUGAAAAACUCACUUAGAUAGGUCAAUAGGCCUCACGAUGACAAGCCCAUCACGAGAAGGCCAACUUCAUCACUGCGUCGAGAGUGAGUCAUAAGGGUUCCCAUAUAUAAAUAAGUAAAAGCCAAGAGAUAGAAACACACUAAAAAAUUUGAAGUUAGUGAAUCAGAUUUUGAACUUUUAAGAUUUGGAUCGAGAAGUUAAUAAUCAACCCUACUAAAGGUGUGGUGUUUAUGAUAAUUUGGAGUAAUUAUAAAUAUUCAUUUAUGCUAAUCUGAAUCGUAGAAAUUCUACAUUUUCUUAAGAAUUUACCAUUCUCUCUAAUUAACAUUUCUUAGUUGUAGAAUUAAGCAAAUAAUAUGUGUGAUCAAAACUUCACUUUAUAUACAAAAUUUGGGAAAUUUGGGUGGUCAAAGGCCAAGAUUUAAGACUUCUGGGGGGUGGGGAGGGGGGAUUUAAGUCAAUUCUUGGAAAAUAAAAUGAAUUAAUUGAUAUUGUUCAAGAUAAAAAUGCAUGAAAUGCGUAUGUGUGCAUCUAAAGAGUAUUAACACAUAAGAGAGUUAAUGAUCUAAGUUAUAACAAACACAUUCAACAAGGAUAAAUGUUUAAAAAAUCAUUAAUACAAAUAUAUAAAUUAAUUUUGAAGAAUCCAUGAAAGUAUUGAGUAUUAACUCUUCAAUUUGAAAUAUAUGAUCUACCCAAUUUUAAAUAAAAGAUGUUCCCAUAUUAAUCCAUAAUUGUAUCGAAUAAUUUUUUUUUUAAAUCCUAAAAAGAUUACACCUCCGUAAAAAAAAUUCUCCUCUAAUUUCAUAUAUAUAUAUAUAUAUAUGAUUAGAUACACUGAUUAAACUUGAGGUUCAAUUAUAAAUUAUUUUCAAAAGAAUGAGAAUGAUGCUUCCCCUUUAAAAAAUGCUUCAAACGUAAGCACACAAAAUUAAUAUGAUUUAAAUGCUAGAGAUGCAUUGGUGAAGGAAAUUCUAUGAGAGAAGGUUUACCUCACCCGGUUAGAAGAACAAUUAGCAAUUGGGAAAGAUGUCAAUAUCGAAUAUUUAAAGAAUUCUCCUCCGAUUCAAAACUGUCAGCUUAUUCCCUUUGAGUCAAAACAUAUGACCAAA